GAGGCCAUAAGCUAUGGAUCUCUUCUGCCUCAAAACAAGCAUUUAUGUUUAGAUGGGCAAAAAAGAACUGCCUGCUGAUACAGCCACCAAUCACAUGUCCCCACACCCAAGUCUGAUAAGAAGGCUAUGACGGGGGUGGGGUGCGGGGAAAGGAUUUGUGUUUCUUCUGCUCUUGUGCUGCUUUCAUCAUUGGCGUUAAUGAUCUUACGGCACAAAAUACUUGCUUUCUUGGCUUAACAAAGACACAAGUUCCUGCAAUGGCACCAGGUGUUAAUGAACUUACUCACCAGCGAGAGACCCGUGAAGUCACAGCAGAGGUGUCAGGCUGGAGCACUGGCGACAUCAGCUCUGUGUGAGAGCCAGACAACCUCUUGAGUUGGAUCUAAGACGUAGGAAUACGGGGCAUUCCAGACCGAGGGGAAGGUACAGAGUUAAAGGCCAGGAAGCCACAGAACACGACUGGAAGCCUGCAGGACUCCAACAGGAUGGAAAGAAUUCUUUUGAAGAUGCGGUUGCUUCGCUGAGGGAGACUCCAGUUCAGACGAGAACAAAGAGACCCGUAAGAGAACGAGACCCAGGUUUCUGAGCCUAAAACCGGGAUUCUAAGUCCUUUCUGUAUCUGUCUCUUCUGUGUCUUUAUCAGCAUCGCUGAUGAAUUUCCCAAGUUCCUGACCUCACAUUGGUACAUCAGUUAAUAUUUGCCCAAGAGACGUGGGCAGAACCCGAGGGAGCCUGCGGGUCCCUGCUGAUACCAUCCACAGUCCUUUUGGCUCCCACAUCGCUCAUAGAAAAGGCCUUCCUCAUCGCUCUCAGUGCCAAGGGGCCAGUGCCUGAAUUCUCUCUCUCUCUUUUUUUUUUUUUUUUUUUUUGGUCUUUUUGCCUUUUAUAGGGCCACUCCCACAGCAUAUGGAGGUUCCAGGCUAGGGGUCGAAUACGAGCUGUGCCAGAGCCACAGCAACACGGGAUCUGAGCCGUGUCUGCACCCUUCACCACAGCUCACAGCAACGCCAGAUCCUUUAACCCACUGAGCAAGGCCAGGGAUCAAACCCACAACCUCAUGGUUCCUAGUCAGAUUCGUUAACCACUGAGCCACGACAGAACUCCGACUGCCUGAAUUCUUGAAACAACAUUGUCAAAAUCAUAGAAAACAGGAUUUCCACCUCAAAAAGUGUUGGCUGACAGAUUGCUCCUUGUAUUUCUGAGCAGAGGCUUCUCCAGGAUCAUCUGUAAAGGCUCGUUAAUUCCAGUCUGUGAUUGGAACUGCUAUUUAGCUCCCAACGAAUUAAAAUUGCCUCCAAAAUCCAUCUUUGAAAUGAAUUCUAAAUGCAAGUGAGACAGAGGGAGAGAGAACUAGACAGAACUGGAUAGAAAUGAGCCCUCUAUCCUGCCCCUUUUCUAAAUAAAUUUAAAAGCCCG
Molecule: long non-coding RNA, 1416 nt
Filed under: Sus scrofa (pig)
Lineage: Eukaryota; Metazoa; Chordata; Mammalia; Artiodactyla; Suidae
Description: lncRNA (ENSSSCG00070026981.1)
Source: RNAcentral